GGGGGGUUAGUGGCGGACGGGUGAGUAAUAUAUCGGAACGUGUCCAUUAAUGGGGGAUAACUAGCCGAAAGGUUGGCUAAUACCGCAUACGCCCUGAGGGGGAAAGCUGGGGAUCUUCGGACCUGGCGUUAAUGGAGCGGCCGAUAGCUGAUUAGCUAGUUGGUGGGGUAAAGGCCUACCAAGGCGACGAUCAGUAGCUGGUCUGAGAGGACGACCAGCCACACUGGGACUGAGACACGGCCCAGACUCCUACGGGAGGCAGCAGUGGGGAAUUUUGGACAAUGGGGGCAACCCUGAUCCAGCCAUUCCGCGUGAGUGAAGAAGGCCUUCGGGUUGUAAAGCUCUUUCGCAAGAGAAGAAAAGAUAUAGGUUAAUAGCCUAUGUUGCUGACGGUACCUUGAUAAGAAGCACCGGCUAACUACGUGCCAGCAGCCGCGGUAAUACGUAGGGUGCGAGCGUUAAUCGGAAUUACUGGGCGUAAAGCGUGCGCA
RNAcentral lists this ribosomal RNA (491 nucleotides) under uncultured bacterium. RNAcentral's name for it is "bacterial SSU rRNA". It matches the Rfam family "Bacterial small subunit ribosomal RNA", at positions 86 to 573 of the family's 1533-position model. The record is from RNAcentral.